UGCGCAGAGGCCCCCGCUGUGCAGUGUGGCAGUUGGAUAUGGCACCUCCUGAACAGAUGGUAUAGGAUCAUCUAAGGAAAGACAAGACAUCCACCCAACAGCUAAUACGCAAGAUGACGUUGGUGAGCGCCAUGGGCCAGAGUUUACUUGUGAACCCCAGUUUGAGAAAAC
Lemur catta (Ring-tailed lemur) is the source of this 171-nucleotide long non-coding RNA. RefSeq lists it as uncharacterized. Lineage: Eukaryota; Metazoa; Chordata; Mammalia; Primates; Lemuridae. The record is from RefSeq and is a predicted model, not a curated record. The transcript has 3 exons.